RNAcentral lists this ribosomal RNA (484 nucleotides) under uncultured bacterium. RNAcentral describes it as "partial 16S ribosomal RNA". It matches the Rfam family "Bacterial small subunit ribosomal RNA", at positions 30 to 507 of the family's 1533-position model. The record is from RNAcentral.
AUUGAACGCUGGCGGCAGGCCUAACACAUGCAAGUCGAGCGGAUGAAGGGAGCUUGCUCCUGGAUUCAGCGGCGGACGGGUGAGUAAUGCCUAGGAAUCUGCCUGGUAGUGGGGGAUAACGUCCGGAAACGGGCGCUAAUACCGCAUACGUCCUGAGGGAGAAAGUGGGGGAUCUUCGGACCUCACGCUAUCAGAUGAGCCUAGGUCGGAUUAGCUAGUUGGUGGGGUAAAGGCCUACCAAGGCGACGAUCGGUAACUGGUCUGAGAGGAUGAUCAGUCACACUGGAACUGAGACACGGUCCAGACUCCUACGGGAGGCAGCAGUGGGGAAUAUUGGACAAUGGGCGAAAGCCUGAUCCAGCCAUGCCGCGUGUGUGAAGAAGGUCUUCGGAUUGUAAAGCACUUUAAGUUGGGAGGAAGGGCAGUAAGUUAAUACCUUGCUGUUUUGACGUUACCAACAGAAGAAGCACCGGCUAACUUCGUG